AUUAAAACCUAGCCACUGCAGAGA
This 24-nucleotide non-coding RNA is filed under the name Gossypium hirsutum (cotton). The record is from RNAcentral. Lineage: Eukaryota; Viridiplantae; Streptophyta; Magnoliopsida; Malvales; Malvaceae.